This 254-nucleotide ribosomal RNA is filed under the name uncultured bacterium. RNAcentral describes it as "partial 16S ribosomal RNA". It matches the Rfam family "Bacterial small subunit ribosomal RNA", at positions 524 to 776 of the family's 1533-position model. The record is from RNAcentral.
UACGAAGGGGGCUAGCGUUGUUCGGAAUCACUGGGCGUAAAGCGCACGUAGGCGGAUCGUUAAGUCGGGGGUGAAAUCCCAGGGCUCAACCCUGGAACUGCCUUCGAUACUGGCGAUCUUCGAGUCCGGGAGAGGUGAGUGGAACUCCGAGUGUAGAGGUGAAAUUCGUAGAUAUUCGGAAGAACACCAGUGGCGAAGGCGGCUUUCUGGACGGUAACUGACGCUGAGGCGCGAAAGCGUGGGGAGCAAACAGG